Molecule: non-coding RNA, 74 nt
Organism: Pangasius djambal
Lineage: Eukaryota; Metazoa; Chordata; Actinopteri; Siluriformes; Pangasiidae
Source: the annotation of a GenBank genome assembly
GGCAGUGGUGGCUCAGUGGGGAAGGCUCUGGUUUACUGCUCAGAAGGUCAAGGGUUCAAGCCCCAGUACUGCCA